Xyrichtys novacula (pearly razorfish) is the source of this 4857-nucleotide non-coding RNA. The record is from the annotation of a GenBank genome assembly. Lineage: Eukaryota; Metazoa; Chordata; Actinopteri; Labriformes; Labridae.
CCAACCCAACAAACAACCCAACUUUUUACAAAAUUUAUUAACAAAAAAUCUUUUAAUAUCAGUCAAUAGUUAUUAGUUAUUGAUUAUUUGGUAAUAUAUCGAUAUCUCUGUGUUCUCUUAUGUCUGUGUUGUCAACAUUUGAACAUUUUUGAGCGGUCCGCUCUUUCUGACUGUAAACAAAGCCGUUCUCCACCUCCUCUAACCUGAUUGGUUGUGAGGCAGACGCUGCUCCCCCGUGUCGUUCAGGAGCCCAAACAAAGUUAGCGUGCUACAAUAUCGGACAGUAGAAACCAACCAGAAAGUUCGGAAAAUUGUCUGAAUCCUCCUUUGGCCACGACUGCCGACACAAGCAAGAAAACAAAGUAAAUACCGGAGACUCUGGAGGAAUAACGGGCGCUUAAAACGGAGGUAGACCGGACAAGAGCUAAAAAGCCGGGUCAACAUAAACGAUGGGGGACGCUUGGGGAUCUUGGUGACCCUGUAACCUUUCUGCUGGACAGGUAAACCGCUUUAACAAAGUAAGACAAGUGUCUGUAACAGAAGUGUUUCUUGUCAAACGGACCUGCUGUAGCGUGUUGUAGCGCCAUCGCUAAACUGUCCUCCCUCGGGUCCUGGACUAUGUCACUUUAUCCUCGUUGUAGAAGUCCUGCAAACAUUGUGUUUGCUGGUAGUCUGUUGGCAUCUACAGUAGCACCAAUGCUUUUGACUUUCACCUUGACUGGGCCCCAUUUGUAAUGAUCUGAAGUAUUGAUCUGCAUUAUAUCUGAAUUUAAUUGGAACGAUACAAGCGAGCAGCGAUCUUCAGGACGGCUGCAGCUUUAAGAACUUCUGCUUGUUGGAGUUUGAGAGUCUAAAGUUCACAGAGACGCUCCUCUUCCUGGAUUGUAGAUAAACUGGUCCCCCCCCCCCCCGUCUCUCACAGCUCACUCCACUCUGCACUCACUGUCUCUCACAGCUCACUCCACUCUGCACUCUCACUUCCUUGUUUCCUCCCCUUCCUUCCUCCCUCCCCCUCAGUUCUACAGUCUUGGUUGGGUGUAACCGUCGUGUGCUGAGGUCAUAUCCUGCUGACGCACAUGUUGUUGAGAUCAGAGCUCAGACUAGUUUCACUUCUCAGGAAAUGAAACUCAGUCAGUCGUCGUCGUCGACAGCGAGUGUUGAAAUGGCGCAGAAAGGAGUUCAUCUGGACCGUGAGUCUUUCUCUUGUUCCAUCUGUUUGGAUCUUCUGAAGGAUCCGGUGACUGUCACCUGUGGACACAGCUUCUGCAUGAGCUGUAUUCAAUCCUACUGGGAUACUGAGGAUGAGAGGAGGAUCUACAGCUGUCCUCAGUGCAGAGAGACCUUCAGACCGAGGCCUGUCCUGAAGAAAAACACCAUGUUAGCAGGUUUAGUGGAGGAAGUGAAGAAGAGCGGACUCCAAGCUGCUCCUGAUGGUUCCUCUGAGGCUGGACCUGAAGAUGUGGCCUGUGAUUUCUGCAGUGGGAGAAAACUGAAAGCUGUCAAGUCCUGUCUUCAAUGUUUGGCUUCUUACUGUCAGAUUCACCUCCAGCCUCAUUUUGAAGUUACUCCAUUUAAGAAACACAAGCUGGUGGAGCCCUCCAAGAAGCUCCAGGAGAAAAUCUGCUCUCGUCAUGAUGAGGUGAUGAAGAUGUUCUGCCGCACUGAUCAGAAGUCCAUCUGUUAUCUCUGCUGUUUGGACCAACACAAAGGUCACGACACAGUCUCAGCUGCAGCAGAAAGGACUGAGAGGCAGAAAGAUCUGGAGGAGGGUCGAGAAAACAUCCAGCAGAGAAUCCAGGACAGAGAAGAAGAUGUGAAGCUGCUCCAACAGGAGGUGGAGGCUAUCAACGGCUCUGCUGAUAAAGCUGUGGAGCACAGCCAGGAGAUCUUCAGCCAGCUGAUCCGUCUGAUGGAGAAACGCCGCUCUGAGGUGGAGCAGCAGGUCAGAUCCCAGCAGGAACGUGAAGUGAGUCGAGUCAAAGACCUUCAGGAGAAACUGGAGCAGGAGAUCACUGAGCUGAAGAGGAAAGACGCUGAUCUGCAGAAGCUCUCACUCACAGAGGACCACAACCAGUUUCUGCACAGCUACCCCUCACUGUCAGAACCGGGUCAACCUGCAGACUCAUCCAGGAUCAACAUCCGUCCUCUGAGAUACUUUGAGGAGGUGACAGCAGCUGUGUCAGAGCUCAGAGAUAAACUCCAGGAUCUUCUGACAGAGACGUGGACAAACGUCUCACAGGCAGUGACUGAAGUGGAUGUUUUACUGUCAGAACGACCAGAACCAGAACCAGCAGAACCCAAGACCAGAGCUGGUUUCUUAAGAUAUUCACGAAGAAUCACACUGGAUCCAAACACAGUAAACAGAGAGCUGUUAUUAUCUGAUGGAAACAGAAGAGCAACAGUGACAGCAGAAGAACAGUCUUAUCCUGAUCAUCCAGACAGAUUCACUGAUUAUCUUCAGGUCCUGAGUAGAGAGAGUCUGACUGGACGUUGUUACUGGGAGGUGGACUGGAGAGGGGGCGGGGUUAUUGUAGCAGUCGCAUACAAGACUAUCAGGAGAGACGGAGACUCAGAGGAUUGUGUAUUUGGAGAAAAUGACAAAUCUUGGAGGUUAGACUGUGAUAAACACAGUUAUCAAUUUGGUCACAACAAAGUCCUCACUGAUGUCUCAGGUCCUCCGUCCUCCAGAGUAGGAGUGUACCUGGAUCACAGAGCAGGUAUUCUGUCCUUCUACAGCGUCUCUGAAACCAUGACUCUCCUCCACAGAGUCCAGACCACAUUCACUGAACCUCUACAUGCUGGACUGGGGUUAGGCUGGUCUGUUGGAGACUCUGCUGAGUUUAUAGAAGUGAACUAAAGAGAAUUUUGAGUCCAUCAGACCAAAAUCAUGGACUGAGAUCCUUGAACUCUUGAAAUGUUCUGGUUUGUAAAUGUUUGUGGAUCAGUCUCACCAAAAACUCUGGGUUUAGUUCUUCAUUUCAGCUUUUUGAUUCUUUUCUAAAGAUGCUGAUUUGGUCGCAGCUUUAAGGACAGUGAUUGUGGAGAACUUUGAUUGUUUGUAUUUCUCAUGUUGAAAAAUCUUCAUACAGUUUGAUAUCAACAACAUCAAGAUGAUGGUUUGUUCAAAUCACCUUCAGUUGGUGCAGAUGUUGAAGGUCUGAGACUUUAGAAAAAAGUGAGGUCAAAAUCACAGAAAAAGGACGACCUUAUUUCCUGUCCCAAAUCCAAGCGUCUAAAGUCUUUCCAGUCGUCCCCAAAAACUCUUCAGAUGAUCUGUUUCUUUCUCUGUUUGCUGAAUAUUUGUGUUCAUGUGAUCGAUGGAUAUUUCUGUCUGCUUCUGUUGGAUCAGUGUGUUUGUAAAGACAUCUAGAAUCAGACUUUGGACAGAUCUACAUGUUGUUAUGAGCUUUUCAAUCACUCUAAUAAUAAUAAUCACAUUUAUUAGUCCCACUGUUUGGAUGUUUCUGACUCAGCUCAGAUUGUGGUCAAGUCUCUGAUUGUGGGUAAAAAAAUCAUAAAAAUCCUCAAACUGAGUCACUGAAAUCACCUCGUCUGUUUGUCUUUAUUGUGUCUGUUUCUGCUGGAUGUCAUGUUACCGCUCCGUCAGUGUCAUGGAUCCAUGUGGUCUUACAUGUCCCAGAUGUGAGUCCUGCAGCUGGAUCAGGUUUUCUGUAGAGGACAAAGACAGGAGGCAGGUUGUGUGUCUUUUUGAUUUGAUGUAACCAGACUAGUCCUGUUGAGAUCAUCAAUCUCUUUUUCAGGGGGGGUCCUGACCAAGAAUGGCAGCAAAACACAAACACACUCAGACUCACACAGAUCCACAUCAGCAACAAGAACUCAGUGUUCAUAUGAGAGAGUCCAGCUGAUCUCUAGUCUAAGGAAAGAAGUCUGGUCCACAAGAAGAAAACCGACUUAAAGGUGGAGUAGACAGGAAUCUGUUAAAGAAGCAUCUUUUUAUUUUGUGGUUUUUAAACAAAAAAUCUUUAAAUAUCAGUCAAUAGUUAUUAGUUAUUGAUGACAUUUGGUAAUAUAUCGAUAUCUCUGUGUUCUCUUAUGUCUGUGUCGUCAACAUUUGAACAUUUUUGAGCGGUCCGCUCUUUCUGACUGUAAAUAAAGCCGUUCUCCACCUCCUCUAACCUGAUUGGUUGUGAGGCAGACGCUGCUCCCCCGUGUCGUUCAGGAGCCCAAACAAAGUUAGCGUGCUACAAUAUCGGACAGUAGAAACCAACCAGAAAGUUCGGAAAAUUGUCUGAAUCCUCUUUUGGCCACGACUGCCGACACAAGCAAGAAAACAAAGUAAAUACCGGAGACUCUGGAGGAAUAACGGGCGCUUAAAACGGAGGUAGAGCGGACAAGAGCUAAAAAGCCGGGUCAACAUAAACCAUGGGGGACGCUUGGGGAUCUUGGUGACCCUGUAACCUUUCUGCUGGACAGGUAAACCGCUUUAACAAAGUAAGACAAGUGUCUGUAACAGAAGUGUUUCUUGUCAAACGGACCUGCUGUAGCGUGUUGUAGCGCCAUCGCUAAACUGUCCUCCCUCGGGUCCUGGACUAUGUCACUUUAUCCUCGUUGUAGAAGUCCUGCAAACAUUGUGUUUGCUGGUAGUCUGUUGGCAUCUACAGUAGCACCAAUGCUUUUUACUUUCACCUUGACUGGGCCCCAUUUGUAAUGAUCUGAAGUAUUGAUCUGCAUUAUAUCUGAAUUUAAUUGGAACGAUACGAGCGAGCAGGAGCGUCUGUUUGUGGGCGGGGCUUGAGGGGAGGGGAGGAGCUGAGGGGAAAACUGGUUGGCAUUCAAGGUUUCUCCUGAAAACUGGAACUACCUCAGAUUCUGACUACACCACCUUUAACAACCAAC